CUAAGAAUGAUUUUUUCCCAUUCAGUAUAUGCUCUAAAAAUAAGGACAAACUAUAAUAGAAGUAACGAUUUUUGGCACACAUGUUUAUGAAAAUGUCCAAGUCAAUAAGCAAUUUCAAUUAAUCAACAAACUUAAAACAACCAUUAAAUGUAAUUUGUAUUUUUGUAUCAGAUCCAUACAAUCUCAAAUAUCAAGAUUUUCUUAAGCUCAAUGCUAAAUGACCGGAUAUCUAUCAUUGUGGAGAAAAAGAAUUUGAUCUCAGGCAGACCAAAGGAAACGAAAGGCACACACCUAGAAGAAUCACAUGAGUCUCACUUCGAAGCCUCACAGAAGUCAGCACUGAAAGUCGUGGGUUACCCAUUGCCCUGCAAGUGGCAGCUUUUCACUAACAGUGCUGGGGGUACUGAGCGGGCAGAAUGUGGGACAUCUCCUGCCAGCAAACUCCAGCCUGCUACCAAGCAGGACACCGCACACAAACACAACACUCUGCCCUAAGCUCACCAAAAAAAAAAAAAAAAAGGAAAAAGCCAACAAUUAAACGAUGCAAAAUAACCUCUCCAAACACGCCCACAAUGGGGGCUGGCAGUGGGGGGUGGAAGGGUUCAUUAACAUUUCAAUUUCAACACUCAACAACAACAAGGAGGUAAGCAUAGCCACGGGAAACAUCCUGUCCCUGAAAAGCGGAAAAUUGACAUUUGAAAAUUUAUGUUUAUUACUUUUAACGUUCAGAGCUCAGGGCACCAAAAUAGAGCUAAAAUUGAAUCAAUUUAAACAGAAAACAUACGUGUGUGUGUGUGAAAAUAUGUAUGUGUAUAUAUAUGCAUAUAAAAUAUAUACAUACACAUAUAUAUUUUAUAUUUUUUUCCGUUUAAAUGUUAUACAUACACACAACCCCCCCAAAACCAAAGUAGUUUUCCGAGGUUCCGAGGGCUCUUCCACAGACCCUUCGGAGUUAUGGCAAUAACAAGUUUAGGUUUCCUUAAAAUCUCCAUUACUCUAUUUCUAGGUCGAAUAUAAGAAUGUCACAUAAAUCUAAAUAGUGAUUAUCAGAAUAAAUGAACUACUGAUCCUUAAACUGUAGACCUUGUUUCGGGAGCUGCCCUGCCCACUUCCUCUCCCUCCUCCCAAUCCCGGAGGCUUCCAAGCCAUCUGACAACCACGUCUACCCCUUGGGAUCUGUUCCGGUGUUGGUUUUACCGGACAGUGACCAAAAAGGAGGGGAAACUCCUACAUCUGGGGACUGCUCCAGAAACCCUGCCUGAUCCUGCCCCUCUCACUGACAGUCUCCUCGCUGCUCCCUACAUCUUCCUCUCCGCCGGAGCUGUCCAGAAGGGGGAUUUUGGACCCAAAGGAAUCGGGAUGAAAGGGGAUCAGAGUGAGAGGCGCUGGCAAUGGACUAGGAAGCUCGGCUGCCGCUGCUACUGCUCCCCCCUGGGCUCCGGCGAGAGCCUUUCCCUGUCAAGCAAGAGGGGUGAGGAUCAUAUUUUUAUUUUGGAAACUAAAAAGUGCUCCCAGGGUCGGUGAUUAUUAAGGGGAAAUCCCUGAAUAUACUCUCCAGCCAAGAAGGCAGGGCUGCCGGGGCUGUACAAGAAGAGGCAGCAGCCUCCUACAGCACCACUACAGGCACUGCGAGGACAUAACACCAGAGAGCUGCUCCUCUGCCCUCCGAAACGACAACUUUCCUACCAUCUUGGAGGCAGAGCAAAGGGGGGCCAGGGGGAAAAGUGCACCCGCUCCCGAUAAAGUACAAAUUUUUACUCCCCAUCUCUGGAAAAAAGUCCACACCGGCAGUCUACACCGGCGCCUGGGGGAGAAAGCAGGGAAGAAACUGGGGGUGCAUGAGAAACGUUUUCAUUUGCUCUAGGGGGAAAAAUGUUUCUGCAUCUUCUGAUGGAAAGAAAUCAUUACAAGACACAGGUUUUCCGGUGAUUACUGUUUUCUGUUUUCUAUUUCUAAUUUUUUUCAUGUUAGUGACAGUGAUAUUUUAAUAUUUUUUCAGGCCAAUAAUAAUCUUUCUCCAUUACAGGGCUAAGUUCUGUGGCUGGUGGUCAGUUUGUAAAUUUGUACUUAAAGAGACUUAAUAGUAACUUCAUUUAUUUGUCUAGUUAUGUUAUUGUAUAUAUAAAUAUUCACAUGUUUUCAUAUAUUGCAUAUGAAAAUUUGUUACAUGUUACUCUCAAAACUGAGAUUGCUGUAAGACAAUUGUAAAAAACAUGUCUUUCGUCUCUGUCUCAAAGCAAUGUAAAUAAAACCUAUGGACUGUCCA
Molecule: long non-coding RNA, 2266 nt
Organism: Cercocebus atys (sooty mangabey)
Lineage: Eukaryota; Metazoa; Chordata; Mammalia; Primates; Cercopithecidae
Exons: 2
Source: RefSeq, a predicted model, not a curated record